RNAcentral lists this ribosomal RNA (559 nucleotides) under uncultured Glomus. Its description in RNAcentral is "SSU rRNA". It matches the Rfam family "Eukaryotic small subunit ribosomal RNA", at positions 546 to 1106 of the family's 1831-position model. Lineage: Eukaryota; Fungi; Glomeromycota; Glomeromycetes; Glomerales; Glomeraceae. The record is from RNAcentral.
AAUUGGAGGGCAAGUCUGGUGCCAGCAGCCGCGGUAAUUCCAGCUCCAAUAGCGUAUAUUAAAGUUGUUGCAGUUAAAAAGCUCGUAGUUGAAUUUCGGGAUCAGCAGGUUGGUCGUGCCACUGGUAUGUACUGGCCUUGCUGAUUCCUCCCUCUUGAUGAGCCGUAAUGCCAUUAAUUUGGUGUUGCGGGGAAUCAGGACUGUUACUUUGAAAAAAUUAGAGUGUUUAAAGCAGGCAAGCGCUUGAAUACAUUAGCAUGGAAUAAUGAAAUAGGACGUUCGAUCCUAUUUUGUUGGUUUCUAGGAUUGACGUAAUGAUUAAUAGGGAUAGUUGGGGGCAUUAGUAUUCAAUUGUCAGAGGUGAAAUUCUUGGAUUUAUUGAAGACUAACUACUGCGAAAGCAUUUGCCAAGGAUGUUUUCAUUAAUCAAGAACGAAAGUUAGGGGAUCGAAGACGAUCAGAUACCGUCGUAGUCUUAACCAUAAACUAUGCCGACUAGGGAUCGGAUGAUGUUAAUUUUUUAAUGACUCAUUCGGCGCCUUACGGGAAACCAAAGUGU